RNAcentral lists this non-coding RNA (246 nucleotides) under Paenibacillus sp. RNAcentral describes it as "T-box sequence". It matches the Rfam family "T-box leader". From Rfam's summary of the family: Uncharged tRNA acts as the effector for transcription antitermination of genes in the T-box leader family. T-boxes are found upstream of many aminoacyl-tRNA synthetase genes and some amino acid biosynthetic genes usually in Gram-positive bacteria. The anticodon of a specific tRNA base pairs to a specifier sequence within the T-box motif, and the NCCA acceptor tail of the tRNA base pairs to a conserved bulge in the T-box antiterminator hairpin. Lineage: Bacteria; Bacillati; Bacillota; Bacilli; Caryophanales; Paenibacillaceae. The record is from RNAcentral.
AUGAUGGCAAUGAUGAGGGGUAGUAGUUUCGGCGGUGUCACCCAGAGAGCCGGCGGUCGGUGCAAGCCGGUUGACGAAGCGGAAUGAACUCGCCUCGGAGUCAUGGUUUGAACGGGGGACGGAUGAACCCUCCUUUCGUGAAAAACCAUCGCCUCACCUCCGUUAAGGGUGCAAAGGGAGCGGAAGCAAAGCAUGUUUUCCGCUAACUAGGGUGGUACCACGGGAAUCAAACCUCUCGUCCCUAGC